RNAcentral lists this ribosomal RNA (417 nucleotides) under uncultured bacterium. RNAcentral's name for it is "bacterial SSU rRNA". It matches the Rfam family "Bacterial small subunit ribosomal RNA", at positions 362 to 776 of the family's 1533-position model. The record is from RNAcentral.
UAUUGGUCAAUGGACGCAAGUCUGAACCAGCCAUGCCGCGUGCAGGAAGACGGCUCUAUGAGUUGUAAACUGCUUUUGUAUUAGGGUAAACUCAGGUACGUGUACCUGACUGCAAGUAUAAUAAGAAUAAGGAUCGGCUAACUCCGUGCCCGCAGCCGCGGUAAUACGGAGGAUCCGCGCGUUAUCCGUAUUUAUUGGGUUUAAAGGGUGCGUAGGCGGUUUGAUAAGUUAGAGGUGAAAUGUCGGGGCUCAACCCCGAAACUGCCUCUAAUACUGUUGGACUAGAGAAUAGUUGCGGUAGGCGGAAUGUAUGGUGUAGCGGUGAAAUGCUUAGAGAUCAUACAGAACACCGAUUGCGAAGGCAGCUUACCAAACUAUAUCUGACGUUGAGGCACGAAAGCGUGGGUAGCAAACAGG